GGGUCAGUAGGUUGGUCGUGCCACCGGUACGUACUGGUCUCACUGAUUCCUCCUUCCUGAAGAACCGUAAUGCCAUUAAUUUGGUGUUGCGGGGAAACAGGACUAUUACUUUGAAAAAAUUAGAGUGUUUAAAGCAAGCUAACGCUUGAAUACAUUAGCAUGGAAUAAUGAAAUAGGACGAUCGAUCCUAUUUUGUUGGUUUCUGGGAUUGACGUA
RNAcentral lists this ribosomal RNA (216 nucleotides) under Glomeromycotina sp. RNAcentral describes it as "partial small subunit ribosomal RNA". The stretch from base 40 to 216 matches the Rfam family "Eukaryotic small subunit ribosomal RNA", at positions 686 to 864 of the family's 1831-position model. Lineage: Eukaryota; Fungi; Glomeromycota. The record is from RNAcentral.